This 442-nucleotide ribosomal RNA is filed under the name Streptococcus agalactiae. RNAcentral's name for it is "bacterial SSU rRNA". It matches the Rfam family "Bacterial small subunit ribosomal RNA", at positions 338 to 795 of the family's 1533-position model. The record is from RNAcentral. Lineage: Bacteria; Bacillati; Bacillota; Bacilli; Lactobacillales; Streptococcaceae.
UCUACGGGAGGCUGCAGUGGGGAAUCUUGCACAAUGGGCGAAAGCCUGAUGCAGCAACGCCGCGUGAGCGAAGAAGGCCUUUGGGUCGUAAAGCUCUGUCCUAAGGGAAGAAGGAAGUGACGGUACCUUAGGAGGAAGCCCCGGCUAACUACGUGCCAGCAGCCGCGGUAAUACGGAGGGGGCAAGCGUUAUCCGGAAUUAUUGGGCGUAAAGAGUACGUAGGCGGUUCUUUAAGCGCAGGGUUUAAGGCGAUAGCUUAACUAUCGUUCGCCCUGUGAACUGGGGGACUUGAGUAUCGGAGAGGAAAGCGGAAUUCCUAGUGUAGCGGUGAAAUGCGUAGAUAUUAGGAGGAACACCAGUGGCGAAGGCGGCUUUCUGGACGAAAACUGACGCUGAGGUACGAAAGCGUGGGGAGCAAACAGGAUUAGAUACCCCGGUAGUC